UUUUUAAAGAAAUAAUUUUAAAUAAAGCCUGCUCAAUGUUCAAUAAAUAGCCGCAGAAAUUUACUGUGCUAAGGUAGCAUAAUCAUUAGUUUCUUAAUUAGAAACCAGUAUGAACGACUUAACAUCCCAUUUUCUUUUUUAAUCAUUUUUAAAUGAAAUUUUAUUAAAUAUAAAAAUAUAUUUAUACAAAAAUUAGACGACAAGACCCCAUCGACCUUUACUGAAGUUAAGCUGGGGAAGCCAAUUAAUAAUUAUUUUAAUUUUUUUUAUAAAAAGACCCAAUAAAAUUGAUAAUUGAUUAAGUUACCGUGGGGAUAACAGCGUAAUAUUUUUCUAAAGCUCUAAUUUAAAAAAAAGUUUGCGACCUCGAUGUUGAAUUAUUUAGCUAAAAAACGCAAAAGUUUUAAAAGCGGGUCUGUUCGACCCUUAAAUUUUUACA
Molecule: ribosomal RNA, 439 nt
Filed under: Metainae sp. LB-2014a
Lineage: Eukaryota; Metazoa; Arthropoda; Arachnida; Araneae; Tetragnathidae
Description: partial 16S ribosomal RNA
Rfam family: Bacterial large subunit ribosomal RNA
Source: RNAcentral